Long non-coding RNA from Phyllostomus discolor (pale spear-nosed bat), 277 nucleotides. RefSeq lists it as uncharacterized. The record is from RefSeq and is a predicted model, not a curated record. NCBI's taxonomy places the organism in Eukaryota, Metazoa, Chordata, Mammalia, Chiroptera, Phyllostomidae. The transcript is spliced from 2 exons.
AAACAUAGAUUGGUUGCCUCUCACACGCCCCCAACCAGGGACCUGGCCUGCAACCCAGGCACAUGCCCCGACUGAGAAUUGAACCAGCGACCUUUCGGUUCACAGGCCAGUGCUCAGUCCACUGAGCCACACCAACCAGGGUGGGAAACAUAUUGAAAUAGUAGUAUUUGCACCUUCCCCCAGACCCAUUUCCUUGUAUGUGACCCACCCCCUAGUCAGUCAGGGGCAUUCUUGAAGGGACAUUGCCUUCAAGAAUUAGUCCUUUUAUAGCAAGAAU